Molecule: ribosomal RNA, 492 nt
Filed under: uncultured bacterium
Lineage: Bacteria
Description: partial 16S ribosomal RNA
Rfam family: Bacterial small subunit ribosomal RNA
Source: RNAcentral
AGUGAACGCUGGCGGUAGGCCUAACACAUGCAAGUCGAACGGCAGCACAGUAAGAGCUUGCUCUUACGGGUGGCGAGUGGCGGACGGGUGAGGAAUACAUCGGAAUCUACUUUUUCGUGGGGGAUAACGUAGGGAAACUUACGCUAAUACCGCAUACGACCUCCGGGUGAAAGCAGGGGAUCUUCGGACCUUGCGCGAUUGAAUGAGCCGAUGUCGGAUUAGCUAGUUGGCGGGGUAAAGGCCCACCAAGGCGGCGAUCCGUAGCUGGUCUGAGAGGAUGAACAACCACACUGGAACAGAGACACGGUCCAGACACCUACGGGAGGCAGCAGUGGAGAAUAUUGGACAAUGGGCGCAAGCCUGAUCCAGCCAUACCGCGUAGGUGAAGAAGGCCUUCGGGUUGUAAAGCCCUUUUGUUGGGAAAGAAAAGCAGCAGGUUAAUACCCCGCUGUUCUGACGGUACCCAAAGAAUAAGCACCGGCUAACUUCGUG